This 377-nucleotide ribosomal RNA is filed under the name uncultured eukaryote. RNAcentral describes it as "partial 18S ribosomal RNA". It matches the Rfam family "Eukaryotic small subunit ribosomal RNA", at positions 592 to 976 of the family's 1831-position model. The record is from RNAcentral.
CAAUAGCGUAUAUUAAAGUUGUUGCAGUUAAAAAGCUCGUAGUUGGAUUUCGGGACAGCCUGGCUGGUCCGCCGCAAGGCGAGUACUGGUCAGCCGCCCUUCCUCUCGAAAGCCCCGACUGCUCUUUAUUGCAGUGGUCGGGUAGUUCGGGACGUUUACUUUGAAAAAAUUAGAGUGUUCAAGGCAGGCCUACGCCUGAAUACAUUAGCAUGGAAUAAUGGAAGAGGACCUCGGUCCUAUUUUGUUGGUUUCCAGGACCGAAGUAAUGAUUAAGAGGGACAGUUGGGGGCAUUCGUAUUUAAUUGUCAGAGGUGAAAUUCUCGGAUUUAUGAAAGACGAACAACUGCGAAAGCAUUUGCCAAGGAUGUUUUCAUUAA